RNAcentral lists this unclassified non-coding RNA (320 nucleotides) under plant metagenome. Its description in RNAcentral is "partial contains 5.8S ribosomal RNA, internal transcribed spacer 2, and large subunit ribosomal RNA". The stretch from base 1 to 105 matches the Rfam family "5.8S ribosomal RNA", at positions 50 to 154 of the family's 154-position model. The record is from RNAcentral.
GAAAUGCAAUAAGUAAUGUGAAUUGCAGAAUUCAGUGAAUCAUCGAAUCUUUGAACGCACAUUGCGCCCGCCAGUAUUCUGGCGGGCAUGCCUGUUCGAGCGUCAUUACAACCCUCAGGCCCCCGGGCCUGGCGUUGGGGAUCGGCGGAAGCCCCCUGCGGGCACAACGCCGUCCCCCAAAUACAGUGGCGGUCCCGCCGCAGCUUCCAUUGCGUAGUAGCUAACACCUCGCAACUGGAGAGCGGCGCGGCCACGCCGUAAAACACCCAACUUCUGAAUGUUGACCUCGAAUCAGGUAGGAAUACCCGCUGAACUUAAGC